RNAcentral lists this transfer RNA (76 nucleotides) under Chloroflexota bacterium. RNAcentral's name for it is "Chloroflexi bacterium (groundwater metagenome) tRNA-Arg". It matches the Rfam family "tRNA". Rfam says of the family: Transfer RNA (tRNA) molecules are approximately 80 nucleotides in length. Their secondary structure includes four short double-helical elements and three loops (D, anti-codon, and T loops). The record is from RNAcentral. Lineage: Bacteria; Bacillati; Chloroflexota.
GUCCCCGUAGCUCAGCGGACAGAGCGGCUGCCUUCUAAGCAGCGGGUCGCAGGUUCGAGUCCUGCCGGGGACGCCA